RNAcentral lists this ribosomal RNA (114 nucleotides) under Thamnaconus fijiensis. RNAcentral's name for it is "partial 16S ribosomal RNA". The record is from RNAcentral. Lineage: Eukaryota; Metazoa; Chordata; Actinopteri; Tetraodontiformes; Monacanthidae.
AGCCCAAUAGCUAGCCUAAACAACCAAAAACAACAACCAAACAUUAAUAAACCCUAAAACACCCACUAAAGUAAACAAACCAUUUUUCCUCUUUAGUAUAGGAGAUAGAAAAAG